This is a long non-coding RNA of Balaenoptera acutorostrata (minke whale), 2459 nucleotides long. RefSeq lists it as uncharacterized. The transcript is spliced from 4 exons. Lineage: Eukaryota; Metazoa; Chordata; Mammalia; Artiodactyla; Balaenopteridae. The record is from RefSeq and is a predicted model, not a curated record.
AAUACCUACCGUGUUUUAUUCGGAUCCUACCUCUUUACAGAGGACAGUUCCUUCUUUGAAGGAGUUUAUAAUCCGGGCAGAUGAGAGUGACACGUACAAAUCAGUAAUACCAGGCUCUUUAUGAUAAAUGACAAGGAUUUGAGAUUUUCUGGACCACCCAGAUGACUCAAAGCUGGGCUCCAGUCCUUGGGAAGAAUGUUCGUCUUCUAAUUCACCCUUAUUCCUCGAAUCCCAACCCAAAACACAGGUGUGGUGGUUAAUUUUAUUUGUCAACUUGACUGAGCCCUAAGAUGCCCAGAUAUUUGGUCAAACAUUAUUCUGGAUGUUUCUGUGAGGGAGUUUUUUGGAUGAGAUUGACAUUUAAAUUGGUAGACUGAAAAAAGCAGAUUGCCCUCCAUAAUGUGGAUGGAGCUCACCCAAUCAGUUGAAGACUUGAAUAGAACAAAAGGCUGACCUCCCCCAAGUAAAAGAUAAUUCCUCCUGCCUGACCGGAGGAAUUGAACUGGAACAUUGGCUCUUUCUGGUUCUACAGCAGCUUCUGGCCUUCCGACUUGAACCAGGACAUUGGCUUUGCAGAUUUUUUCCUUGCCGGCCUUCAUAAUCAUUUAUCGUUAGUGGGAGAGUUGUCUGUCACCCUCGUCCUCCAUUACCAGAAUCAUUUGAACAUGGUGCCAGUGCCCUGAUCUCAAUCAUCGUGGAUACCAAUUAUUUAUAUAUUAUUAUUUUGUAAGGCCAUAUAGAUUAUACCCUUUUAGGCCUUUAAGCCAUUCUGCAAUUUCAUGUCCUUAGGCAAAGACAGCGUCUGUGGCAAAGUGAAGUCCAACACUUCUGACCCAGUCUAAACACUGGGUUAGAAACCUCACCUCAUCGCCUGCCACAAAGAAUUAUUUCUAUCUCUGCAUUAACUGAAUGGUCUUGGGCAAGUCACUGAGCCUGUCUACUUCUGGGCCCCCACCCUCCCUGGCAAAGUCAGGAGCUGCUCUGAAAUUCUCUGAGUGUGGGGAGACCACAAGUGGACUGUCCUCCAGGAAACAAUGAUGAGGUCUUUCAACCUCAUGGAAUGCUCCUGGCAUCUCUCCAGGAAGAGGCUCGCUGCCAUCAGCUACUAGACUGACAGCCCCGCAGAGCCUCCCCCAGGAGGUCAAGUGUCGGAGUCCUACGGAAUGCUAGAAGAAACUUGGCGAGUGUCUCAGCGCCAUGCAUAAUGGGCUCCAUGCCAAGUUAUCUUGUUUAAACGUCACAUUCCUACGAGCAGAUGCUCUUAUAAUUCCUCAUUUAAUAGUUGAGGAAACAGGAGAUAAGAUAGGUUAAGUUGCCCAAGGUCACACUGCUGGGAAAGUGGAACCCAUAUCUGACUUCAAAGCAUAAGAAUUAGACUUAUUUUAUGUAAUUACAGAGGUGAAGACUAGAUUGAAGUAAGGGCAAAAUAGAGGAGACAUAUUUCGACUCAAUACUGGGUGGGACUUUUGAACCAUGAUUGUCAGCCAAAACUGCAAUGGGCUGCCUUUUUUUCACUGGAAGAGUUCAAGUUGGAUUACCAUUUUUUUCAGGGAUGCUAUGGAAGGGAAUCCCAAACUGGCCGAAAGUUGGACUAGACACCCACCAAAUGUCCCUUUGAGCCCGAAAAUUCUAAUAUAAUUCUAAGAUUGUGUGAUUUGGUGUCUCCCAGGAAAUUCACAUACAGCAGUUGGAGACCCCACCACCGGAGGGCAGCGUCUUCACAUUUGGUGCAUUUGCACAGAAGGACGCAAACCCCAUCCCCUCCGAGGUGCCUAGAGAGUGCGAAGAUUAGCAUGGGGGUGAUGUGGGCCCGUGUGAAGACAGAGAGGGAUCCACCACCAGCAUGUUAAUAUCCCUUCCUCUACCAGCCGGAACAAUGAUUUCUGUCUGCCAGUGCAUUGGAGAGGGCAGGGUGCUGAAGUUCAAAGGGAAGACCCCAUUUCCAUGAAGCUGGGGAGGAGGGGCGUUCUGAGGGCUGCUUCCUCUGCCCCUGCACCCCAAAGACUAGGACAGUGAGGAGAGAAACAGGGUCGAGGAGUGUCAGAAGGUGACCAAGAAAUCCCGUCACGCUCGGGAAGAUGGAAGGACCCAGGAAGGGAAGAGCAACUUGGAAGGACCGUGAGACCUGCCUUCCAUUCAGGUGGUCUGUAGGGUCCUGGGUGUCAAAACCAGGGUUGACAAGUGGAUUCCACCAUGGGGCAGGGCUCAGCCUGAUUUAAGGAAGCUCUCUGUGCAAUGUCAGGAAGCACUGCCUUGGGAGGCAUUCACUCCACACAUGUUUACCGUAUUUACUGUGUUCUCCCUUCAGGCCGGGUGCUGUCUUAUUGCUGAGAAACAGCAGUGAAUAAAACACACAAGAUACACUUUGCCUGCCCUCACAGAGCUGACCUGCCUGUGUCUGAGCAUCCGGGGAGAUGCUGAGGCGUGGCGUGGGGGGCCUUUGGGUCGUUAGCCUGGAU